Molecule: non-coding RNA, 73 nt
Organism: Dipodomys ordii (Ord's kangaroo rat)
Lineage: Eukaryota; Metazoa; Chordata; Mammalia; Rodentia; Heteromyidae
Source: Rfam
GGGAAUGUGGCUUAGUGGUAGAGCACUUGCCUAGGAGGCAUGAAGCCCUAAGUUCAAUUUCUCAGCACUUUAU